GGGCUUAUUUCAGUAGCACAUAUACUAAAAUUGGAACCAUACAGAGAAGAUUAGCAUGGCUCCUGUGUGAAGAUGAUGCACAAAAUAUUAGGCACUCGGGAUUAACAU
Molecule: small nuclear RNA, 108 nt
Filed under: Ovis aries (sheep)
Lineage: Eukaryota; Metazoa; Chordata; Mammalia; Artiodactyla; Bovidae
Source: RNAcentral